Molecule: transfer RNA, 73 nt
Filed under: Stegodyphus mimosarum
Lineage: Eukaryota; Metazoa; Arthropoda; Arachnida; Araneae; Eresidae
Rfam family: tRNA
About the family: Transfer RNA (tRNA) molecules are approximately 80 nucleotides in length. Their secondary structure includes four short double-helical elements and three loops (D, anti-codon, and T loops). Further hydrogen bonds mediate the characteristic L-shaped molecular structure. tRNAs have two regions of fundamental functional importance: the anti-codon, which is responsible for specific mRNA codon recognition, and the 3' end, to which the tRNAs corresponding amino acid is attached (by aminoacyl-tRNA synthetases). tRNAs cope with the degeneracy of the genetic code in two manners: having more than one tRNA (with a specific anti-codon) for a particular amino acid; and 'wobble' base-pairing, i.e. permitting non-standard base-pairing at the 3rd anti-codon position.
Source: Rfam by way of RNAcentral
GCCUUCGUGGUGUAGUGGUCAGCACACUCGAUGCGUAUUCGAGAGGUCCGAGGUUCGAGUCCCGGCGAAGGCA